This is a long non-coding RNA of Anopheles merus, 1148 nucleotides long. RefSeq lists it as uncharacterized. NCBI's taxonomy places the organism in Eukaryota, Metazoa, Arthropoda, Insecta, Diptera, Culicidae. The transcript is spliced from 4 exons. The record is from RefSeq and is a predicted model, not a curated record.
GUAGGCGAACUAUCGUUCACUGUGUCACGUGGAACGAGCCAGAGUAGCAAGGUGCUUUAAGGUAGAAAAUAAACGUAAAAUAAGAUACCUCCCCCUAAAGGAGGAACCUCCAAACCUUACUCUGCGGUCCCGUGUCUGGGUGGAUAAAAUUGUAAGGGUCACCACGUGCGGCCUUUUUAGGACAAUUAUGACGUAAUUUUGGUCACACAGGAGGUGCCCCUAUCUGGAAAGGCACGUGUGUGUGUGUCUGUGUGCGUUUAUUGCACUUCACCGCCAUACGCCGCACGAACGCGGGUGCGCCACCUCUACCUCGAGGACCGACGGCACGUAGGUACACACACACACAGUUAAUAUGGGGGCUGUCUGGGAAAUUUACAUUUCCGAAGGGACGCCGCCGGUAGACCAUCCGUCAAUUUAAUCACAUUCGGAGAGUUUCGGGGAUGAGUGGGGUGGUCCCGUUAUUUUUUUUUUUUGGCACUCUAAUGCUUUAUUAAAUAAUGAUGGAAGAUAGGACAGACAGACAGACAGAACCGAGCCAGACAUGCAAUAACGUGUUGCAUUGAGGGCGGAAGAAGGAAAUUCGGGGCAAAAGAGGCGUGAUUGUAAAUAUUACAGCUACAGAAAACAGGAGGAUCUAAAAUAUAAAAUUAUCGUUCGACAAGAAGGUCCUUCCAGCAUUAAUUGAUUGGUCCGUUAAAUUGUAAUGUUGCCUGGAGUUCCCGGAUGGUCUUGAAAACUGAGCAGCACACACCACGAAUGCCUGGUCACGUUCGGUUAUGUCCAAUAAAGCGGACCGGCUAGCAGAGACCUAGUGUGGCACGUGCCACGACCACAAGAGUGUCAUGUGCAGCGCACACAUCGGAAUACGUAGAAGGAGGACUCAGAGCAACAACAAAAAAAGUUCCAUUUCGGACACGUACGGGUUCCGGGGGGCAACAAUUAUCACACUGGGUAAUGACGAGGUUCGAAACAGAGAAGACAAAAACUCCCAGAUGUUAUCGAAUGCGUCGGAUGUAGCUUUCGGGAGUAGCUCGUUAGCGUUGCAACCUGGCUCGGCUCCCUGAGGAGGACACAUUUUGGUCACCGUUUUUGUUUGGCGGUAAUUAAUUCAAUGUCAGGGCACACACGUGCUUUUCGGUGCUUUUUGG